GACAGAGGGUGCAAACGUUGUUCGGAUUUACUGGGCGUAAAGCGCGUGUAGGCGGCUUGGCAAGUCGGAUGUGAAAGCCCACGGCUCAACCGUGGAAGCGCAUCCGAAACUGCUUCGCUCUAGUCUCGGAGAGGAAGGUGGAAUGCUUGGUGUAGAGGUGAAAUUCGUAGAUAUCAAGCAGAACACCUGCGGCGAAGGCGGCCUUCUGGACGAUGACUGACGCUGAGACGCGAAAGCGUGGGGAGCAAACAGG
RNAcentral lists this ribosomal RNA (253 nucleotides) under uncultured bacterium. Its description in RNAcentral is "partial 16S ribosomal RNA". It matches the Rfam family "Bacterial small subunit ribosomal RNA", at positions 524 to 776 of the family's 1533-position model. The record is from RNAcentral.